GACGAACGCUGGCGGCGUGCUUAACACAUGCAAGUCGAACGGAAAGGCCCUGCUUUUGUGGGGUGCUCGAGUGGCGAACGGGUGAGUAACACGUGAGUAACCUGCCCUUGACUUUGGGAUAACUUCAGGAAACUGGGGCUAAUACCGGAUAGGAGCUCCUGCUGCAUGGUGGGGGUUGGAAAGUUUCGGCGGUUGGGGAUGGACUCGCGGCUUAUCAGCUUGUUGGUGGGGUAGUGGCUUACCAAGGCUUUGACGGGUAGCCGGCCUGAGAGGGUGACCGGCCACAUUGGGACUGAGAGACGGCGCAGACUCCUACGGGAGGCAGCAGUGGGGAAUAUUGCACAAUGGGCGGAAGCCUGAUGCAGCAACGCCGCGUGCGGGAUGACGGGCUUCGGGUUGUAAACCGAUUUCGCCGGUGACGAAGAGUGAGUGACGGUAAUGGGUAAAGAAGCACCGGCUAACUACGUG
This 468-nucleotide ribosomal RNA is filed under the name uncultured bacterium. RNAcentral describes it as "partial 16S ribosomal RNA". It matches the Rfam family "Bacterial small subunit ribosomal RNA", at positions 28 to 507 of the family's 1533-position model. The record is from RNAcentral.